Molecule: transfer RNA, 72 nt
Filed under: Klebsiella pneumoniae
Lineage: Bacteria; Pseudomonadati; Pseudomonadota; Gammaproteobacteria; Enterobacterales; Enterobacteriaceae
Also listed under: 1 other name
Description: tRNA-Pro
Source: RNAcentral
AGACACCUAGAGAAGUAAUAUCCCGACAUGGGGUGUCGGGGGUCGGAGGUUCAAAUCCUCUCGUGCCGACCA